UUAAGCGACUAAGCGUACACGGUGGAUGCCCUGGCAGUCAGAGGCGAUGAAGGACGUGCUAAUCUGCGAUAAGCGUCGGUGAGGUGAUAUGAACCGUUAUAACCGGCGAUUUCCGAAUGGGGAAACCCAGUGUGAUUCGUCACACUAUCAUUAACUGAAUCCAUAGGUUAAUGAGGCGAACCGGGGGAACUGAAACAUCUAAGUACCCCGAGGAAAAGAAAUCAACCGAGAUUCCCCCAGUAGCGGCGAGCGAACGGGGAGCAGCCCAGAGCCUGAAUCAGUGUGUGUGUUAGUGGAAGCGUCUGGAAAGGCGUGCGAUACAGGGUGACAGCCCCGUACACAAAAAUGCACAUACUGUGAGCUCGAUGAGUAGGGCGGGACACGUGGUAUCCUGUCUGAAUAUGGGGGGACCAUCCUCCAAGGCUAAAUACUCCUGACUGACCGAUAGUGAACCAGUACCGUGAGGGAAAGGCGAAAAGAACCCCGGCGAGGGGAGUGAAAAAGAACCUGAAACCGUGUACGUACAAGCAGUGGGAGCCUCUUAAUGGGGUGACUGCGUACCUUUUGUAUAAUGGGUCAGCGACUUAUAUUCUGUAGCAAGGUUAACCGAAUAGGGGAGCCGAAGGGAAACCGAGUCUUAACUGGGCGUUAAGUUGCAGGGUAUAGACCCGAAACCCGGUGAUCUAGCCAUGGGCAGGUUGAAGGUUGGGUAACACUAACUGGAGGACCGAACCGACUAAUGUUGAAAAAUUAGCGGAUGACUUGUGGCUGGGGGUGAAAGGCCAAUCAAACCGGGAGAUAGCUGGUUCUCCCCGAAAGCUAUUUAGGUAGCGCCUCGUGAAUUCAUCUCCGGGGGUAGAGCACUGUUUCGGCAAGGGGGUCAUCCCGACUUACCAACCCGAUGCAAACUGCGAAUACCGGAGAAUGUUAUCACGGGAGACACACGGCGGGUGCUAACGUCCGUCGUGAAGAGGGAAACAACCCAGACCGCCAGCUAAGGUCCCAAAGUCAUGGUUAAGUGGGAAACGAUGUGGGAAGGCCCAGACAGCCAGGAUGUUGGCUUAGAAGCAGCCAUCAUUUAAAGAAAGCGUAAUAGCUCACUGGUCGAGUCGGCCUGCGCGGAAGAUGUAACGGGGCUAAACCAUGCACCGAAGCUGCGGCAGCGACACUAUGUGUUGUUGGGUAGGGGAGCGUUCUGUAAGCCUGUGAAGGUGUACUGUGAGGUAUGCUGGAGGUAUCAGAAGUGCGAAUGCUGACAUAAGUAACGAUAAAGCGGGUGAAAAGCCCGCUCGCCGGAAGACCAAGGGUUCCUGUCCAACGUUAAUCGGGGCAGGGUGAGUCGACCCCUAAGGCGAGGCCGAAAGGCGUAGUCGAUGGGAAACAGGUUAAUAUUCCUGUACUUGGUGUUACUGCGAAGGGGGGACGGAGAAGGCUAUGUUGGCCGGGCGACGGUUGUCCCGGUUUAAGCGUGUAGGCUGGUUUUCCAGGCAAAUCCGGAAAAUCAAGGCUGAGGCGUGAUGACGAGGCACUACGGUGCUGAAGCAACAAAUGCCCUGCUUCCAGGAAAAGCCUCUAAGCAUCAGGUAACAUCAAAUCGUACCCCAAACCGACACAGGUGGUCAGGUAGAGAAUACCAAGGCGCUUGAGAGAACUCGGGUGAAGGAACUAGGCAAAAUGGUGCCGUAACUUCGGGAGAAGGCACGCUGAUAUGUAGGUGAAGUCCCUCGCGGAUGGAGCUGAAAUCAGUCGAAGAUACCAGCUGGCUGCAACUGUUUAUUAAAAACACAGCACUGUGCAAACACGAAAGUGGACGUAUACGGUGUGACGCCUGCCCGGUGCCGGAAGGUUAAUUGAUGGGGUUAGCGGUAACGCGAAGCUCUUGAUCGAAGCCCCGGUAAACGGCGGCCGUAACUAUAACGGUCCUAAGGUAGCGAAAUUCCUUGUCGGGUAAGUUCCGACCUGCACGAAUGGCGUAAUGAUGGCCAGGCUGUCUCCACCCGAGACUCAGUGAAAUUGAACUCGCUGUGAAGAUGCAGUGUACCCGCGGCAAGACGGAAAGACCCCGUGAACCUUUACUAUAGCUUGACACUGAACAUUGAGCCUUGAUGUGUAGGAUAGGUGGGAGGCUUUGAAGUGUGGACGCCAGUCUGCAUGGAGCCGGCCUUGAAAUACCACCCUUUAAUGUUUGAUGUUCUAACGUUGGCCCCUGAUCGGGGUUGCGGACAGUGUCUGGUGGGUAGUUUGACUGGGGCGGUCUCCUCCUAAAGAGUAACGGAGGAGCACGAAGGUUGGCUAAUCCUGGUCGGACAUCAGGAGGUUAGUGCAAUGGCAUAAGCCAGCUUGACUGCGAGCGUGACGGCGCGAGCAGGUGCGAAAGCAGGUCAUAGUGAUCCGGUGGUUCUGAAUGGAAGGGCCAUCGCUCAACGGAUAAAAGGUACUCCGGGGAUAACAGGCUGAUACCGCCCAAGAGUUCAUAUCGACGGCGGUGUUUGGCACCUCGAUGUCGGCUCAUCACAUCCUGGGGCUGAAGUAGGUCCCAAGGGUAUGGCUGUUCGCCAUUUAAAGUGGUACGCGAGCUGGGUUUAGAACGUCGUGAGACAGUUCGGUCCCUAUCUGCCGUGGGCGCUGGAGAACUGAGGGGGGCUGCUCCUAGUACGAGAGGACCGGAGUGGACGCAUCACUGGUGUUCGGGUUGUCAUGCCAAUGGCACUGCCCGGUAGCUAAAUGCGGAAGAGAUAAGUGCUGAAAGCAUCUAAGCACGAAACUUGCCCCGAGAUGAGUUCUCCCUGACUCCUUGAGAGUCCUGAAGGAACGUUGAAGACGACGACGUUGAUAGGCCGGGUGUGUAAGCGCAGCGAUGCGUUGAGCUAACCGGUACUAAUGAACCGUGAGGCUUAACCU
This 2901-nucleotide ribosomal RNA is filed under the name Escherichia coli. Its description in RNAcentral is "bacterial LSU rRNA". It matches the Rfam family "Bacterial large subunit ribosomal RNA". The record is from RNAcentral. Lineage: Bacteria; Pseudomonadati; Pseudomonadota; Gammaproteobacteria; Enterobacterales; Enterobacteriaceae.